Gossypium arboreum is the source of this 107-nucleotide small nucleolar RNA. It matches the Rfam family "Plant small nucleolar RNA R71". Rfam says of the family: R71 is a member of the C/D box family of snoRNAs containing the C (UGAUGA) and D (CUGA) box motifs. Multiple nearly identical copies of this snoRNA have been identified in Arabidopsis, and it is thought to function as a 2'-O-ribose methylation guide for 18S ribosomal RNA. Lineage: Eukaryota; Viridiplantae; Streptophyta; Magnoliopsida; Malvales; Malvaceae. The record is from Rfam.
AUCCCAUGAUGAGGACACUUACGCAGUAACUCCUUGAAUCGCUCCCAAGCCUCAUACAAAGACUCAUCAUCCAAUUGUUGGAAGGUUGUGAUCUCGUUCCUCAACUU